UUGAAAAUGUUAUCUAUAGGGAUACUUCUGGCCAAGAUACUUCUUUAAAACUCACAAAGUCCUGCGUUGAAAAAAGAAUUUUUUUCUCCCAGAAGAUUCCUCUUCAUGGUUUCAGGGCUUCAGAAAUGUAGAGGGAAUUUACAUGAUUUGAAAGGUAUUCUGUUUCUACUGAUGAGAGAGCCAACACUGCUAAUGACACAGAAGAAAACAAGCUAUGGCUCAUCAUGGCCCAGUAAUUCUACCAUUGGAAAGACUUGCAACCAUUGUCUUUGACAAGAUUACAUUUGACAAGAUUACAUAGGACUCUUCAAGUCCUAACCAUCACUCACUGACUCCCUACCUGCAUCAAGAUUAUGAAUGACUGGAUGCCAAGGAUUCCAAUUCAAACUUAGAACUUUCUCAUUCAUUGACAUCCCUGCUGCAAUCAGCCACAGUGAGACUCCCAUCAAGAUCUUGGAAGAAAUUAUCACUAAGUGUUGAUUCAAAAUCUGAUCAACUAAUGAUCUGAUCAACAUAGAAGCAGAAAUUACCUUAGUGAAAAGGUGAAAAACCAGGGCAAUUGAUAUGCUAAGGUAUUGUACUCCAGUUUUCUAUGAAUAGUUAAUAUCAGUUUAACCAACUAAAUUUAGUAUGAUGAGUCUUAGGGACUCCAAAGUCUAAAAAUGUCAGUAUCUCCAAGAUUGCCUAGAGCAAAGGGCCCCUUCAACUCAAGAAUUGACAUCUCUGAGGCUGGGUUAUACCUUCCAACACCAGGUUUGCAUAGCUGAGUGACAUUAGCUAUGAAGAUAAUUUGAUUCACUCUUCUGGCUCAGUUGUCAUAUUGUUAAUCAGCCUUAUAAUAAAUUUAUAUUUCCACAUAAAUUUUUACACAAAGACAAUGGAUAGCGCAGUUGAC
This is a long non-coding RNA of Panthera uncia (snow leopard), 895 nucleotides long. RefSeq lists it as uncharacterized. The transcript is spliced from 3 exons. NCBI's taxonomy places the organism in Eukaryota, Metazoa, Chordata, Mammalia, Carnivora, Felidae. The record is from RefSeq and is a predicted model, not a curated record.